AACGCAACUUGCGCUCAUUGGUAUUCCAAUGAGCACACCUGUUUCAGUAUCAAAACAAACCCUCUAUCCAACUUUUGUUGAAUAGGAUUAUUGGGGGCCUCUCGAUCUGUAUUGAUCUUGAAACCCUUGAAAUAUACUAAGGCCUGAACUUGUUUAAUGCCUGAACUUUUUUUUAAUAUAAAGGAAAGCUCUUGUAAUUGACUUUGAUGGGGCCUCCCAAAUAAAUCUCUUUAAAUUUGAUCUGAAAUCAGGUGGGAUUACCCGCUGAACUUAA
RNAcentral lists this unclassified non-coding RNA (274 nucleotides) under uncultured Mucor. Its description in RNAcentral is "sequence contains ITS2". The record is from RNAcentral. Lineage: Eukaryota; Fungi; Mucoromycota; Mucoromycetes; Mucorales; Mucoraceae.